UUUCCUUCUCCCACUGCUGCUGAGAUGGCAGAAAUUGGUCCAAUUCAGUAUGAAAUGAAAUACACCAAAGGUAUUAGCAAAUGAGGGUAAAUUAAAAGUCGCACCACCAAAUGCUACCCUGGAACAAGGAUUCCAAGAAGGAGUUCCAAAUGCUAGUGUGAUCAUGCAAGUUCCAGAGAGGAUUGUUGUAGCAGAAAAUAAUGAAGACUUUUCGUUUUUAAGACCAGCAGAUCUUGACCUUAUUCAGUCGACUCCUUUAAAACCUCUGGCAAUAAAAACACCACGUCGUGUACUUACACUAAGUGAGAGACAGCUAGAUUUUCUGGACUUAAGAAAAACCUUCUCCAACCCCUCAAAGUGAUGAAAUCUGUGCAGUUGGCAGGCUAAAAAGAGAGCACUCUAUGAAUGAAAAUGUUGUUCGCCAAAGUGGACAGCUGGUCAGAAACAAUGCUAUACUUGUGUAUGGCAUUUCAAAUGUAGAUGCAACAAUUGAAGGAACAGCGGAUGACAUGACUGUUGUAGAUGCAGCUUCAUUAAGACGACAGAUAAUCAAACUAAACAGAUGCUUACAACUUCUAGAAGAGGAAAACAAAGAACGUGCUAAAAGAGAAAUGGUCAUGUAUUCAAUUACUGUUCCUUUCUGGCUGCUUAAUAGCUGGCUCUGGUUUCACCACUAG
Octodon degus (degu) is the source of this 677-nucleotide RNA transcript. It is a transcript of the gene named mitochondrial fission factor-like, with no coding region annotated. The transcript is spliced from 2 exons. Lineage: Eukaryota; Metazoa; Chordata; Mammalia; Rodentia; Octodontidae. The record is from RefSeq and is a predicted model, not a curated record.